UAGAGUUUGAUCAUGGCUCAGAUUGAACGCUGGCGGCAGGCCUAACACAUGCAAGUCGAACGGUAGCACAGAGAGCUUGCUCUCGGGUGACGAGUGGCGGACGGGUGAGUAAUGUCUGGGAAACUGCCCGAUGGAGGGGGAUAACUACUGGAAACGGUAGCUAAUACCGCAUAACGUCGCAAGACCAAAGUGGGGGACCUUCGGGCCUCACACCAUCGGAUGUGCCCAGAUGGGAUUAGCUAGUAGGUGGGGUAAUGGCUCACCUAGGCGACGAUCCCUAGCUGGUCUGAGAGGAUGACCAGCCACACUGGAACUGAGACACGGUCCAGACUCCUACGGGAGGCAGCAGUGGGGAAUAUUGCACAAUGGGCGCAAGCCUGAUGCAGCCAUGCCGCGUGUAUGAAGAAGGCCUUCGGGUUGUAAAGUACUUUCAGCGGGGAGGAAGGCG
This 448-nucleotide ribosomal RNA is filed under the name uncultured bacterium. RNAcentral's name for it is "bacterial SSU rRNA". It matches the Rfam family "Bacterial small subunit ribosomal RNA", at positions 1 to 453 of the family's 1533-position model. The record is from RNAcentral.